GUAGAUAGAGGUCGCAUUUUUCAUGAGUAAGAUGUUGGAUGUUAUCAGGAACAGUUGAACACAUCAGAAAGGGGAAGGUGCCGAAAGGGUGAGAAACCUGAUAUCUUGUCCUUGGGCAUGACGUAAAUAGCGGCAUGACUGUCAUCGCAGGAUGGAGAGCU
Molecule: non-coding RNA, 161 nt
Filed under: uncultured Mediterraneibacter sp.
Lineage: Bacteria; Bacillati; Bacillota; Clostridia; Lachnospirales; Lachnospiraceae
Description: Lysine riboswitch
Rfam family: Lysine riboswitch aptamer
About the family: Riboswitches are metabolite binding domains within certain messenger RNAs that serve as precision sensors for their corresponding targets. Allosteric rearrangement of mRNA structure is mediated by ligand binding, and this results in modulation of gene expression.
Source: RNAcentral